GAGCGGGCGUAGCAAUACGUCAGCGGCAGACGGGUGAGUAACGCGUGGGAACGUACCUUUUGGUUCGGAACAACACAGGGAAACUUGUGCUAAUACCGGAUAAGCCCUUACGGGGAAAGAUUUAUCGCCGAAAGAUCGGCCCGCGUCUGAUUAGCUAGUUGGUGAGGUAAUGGCUCACCAAGGCGACGAUCAGUAGCUGGUCUGAGAGGAUGAUCAGCCACAUUGGGACUGAGACACGGCCCAAACUCCUACGGGAGGCAGCAGUGGGGAAUAUUGGACAAUGGGCGCAAGCCUGAUCCAGCCAUGCCGCGUGAGUGAUGAAGGCCCUAGGGUUGUAAAGCUCUUUUGUGCGGGAAGAUAAUGACGGUACCGCAAGAAUAAGCCCCGGCUAACUUCGUG
RNAcentral lists this ribosomal RNA (399 nucleotides) under uncultured bacterium. RNAcentral describes it as "bacterial SSU rRNA". It matches the Rfam family "Bacterial small subunit ribosomal RNA", at positions 64 to 507 of the family's 1533-position model. The record is from RNAcentral.